This 344-nucleotide unclassified non-coding RNA is filed under the name soil metagenome. RNAcentral describes it as "partial contains 5.8S ribosomal RNA, internal transcribed spacer 2, and large subunit ribosomal RNA". The stretch from base 1 to 120 matches the Rfam family "5.8S ribosomal RNA", at positions 35 to 154 of the family's 154-position model. The record is from RNAcentral.
GAUGAAGAACGUAGUGAAAUGCGAUAAGUAAUGUGAAUUGCAGAAUUCAGUGAAUCAUCGAAUCUUUGAACGCACAUUGCGCCCGUCAGUAUUCUGGCGGGCAUGCCUGUUCGAGCGUCAUUUCAACCCUCAAGCCCCCGGGCUUGGUGUUGGGGAUCGGCGUGCCCUCGCGGCGCGCCGUCCCCUAAAUCUAGUGGCGGUCUCGCUGUAGCUUCCUCUGCGUAGUAGCAACACUCGCACUGGAUCGCAGCGCGGCCACGCCGUUAAACCCCCCACUUCUGAAAGUUUGACCUCGGAUCAGGUAGGAAUACCCGCUGAACUUAAGCAUAUCAAUAAGCGGAGGA